This 468-nucleotide ribosomal RNA is filed under the name uncultured bacterium. Its description in RNAcentral is "partial 16S ribosomal RNA". It matches the Rfam family "Bacterial small subunit ribosomal RNA", at positions 28 to 507 of the family's 1533-position model. The record is from RNAcentral.
GACGAACGCUGGCGGCGUGCUUAACACAUGCAAGUCGAACGGAAAGGCCCUGCUUUUGUGGGGUGCUCGAGUGGCGAACGGGUGAGUAACACGUGAGUAACCUGCCCUUGACUUUGGGAUAACUUCAGGAAACUGGGGCUAAUACCGGAUAGGAGCUCCUGCUGCAUGGUGGGGGUUGGAAAGUUUCGGCGGUUGGGGAUGGACUCGCGGCUUAUCAGCUUGCUGGUGGGGUAGUGGCUUACCAAGGCUUUGACGGGUAGCCGGCCUGAGAGGGUGACCGGCCACAUUGGGACUGAGAUACGGCCCAGACUCCUACGGGAGGCAGCAGUGGGGAAUAUUGCACAAUGGGCGGAAGCCUGAUGCAGCAACGCCGCGUGCGGGAUGACGGCCUUCGGGUUGUAAACCGCUUUCGCCUGGGACGAAGCGUGAGUGACGGUAAUGGGUAAAGAAGCACCGGCUAACUACGUG